GAUGAACGCUGGCGGCGUGCCUAAUACAUGCAAGUCGAGCGAACAGGCGAGGAGCUUGCUCCUCUGACGUUAGCGGCGGACGGGUGAGUAACACGUGGAUAACCUACCUAUAAGACUGGGAUAACUUCGGGAAACCGGAGCUAAUACCGGAUAAUAUAUUGAACCGCAUGGUUCAAUAGUGAAAGACGGUUUUGCUGUCACUUAUAGAUGGAUCCGCGCCGCAUUAGCUAGUUGGUAAGGUAACGGCUUACCAAGGCGACGAUGCGUAGCCGACCUGAGAGGGGGAUCGGCCACACUGGAACUGAGACACGGUCCAGACUCCUACGGGAGGCAGCAGUAGGGAAUCUUCCGCAAUGGGCGAAAGCCUGACGGAGCAACGCCGCGUGAGUGAUGAAGGUCUUCGGAUCGUAAAACUCUGUUAUUAGGGAAGAACAAAUGUGUAAGUAACUAUGCACGUCUUGACGGUACCUAAUCAGAAAGCCACGGCUAACUACGU
Molecule: ribosomal RNA, 496 nt
Filed under: uncultured bacterium
Lineage: Bacteria
Description: partial 16S ribosomal RNA
Rfam family: Bacterial small subunit ribosomal RNA
Source: RNAcentral